AUUGAACGCUGGCGGCAUGCCUUACACAUGCAAGUCGAACGGCAGCACGGGGGCAACCCUGGUGGCGAGUGGCGAACGGGUGAGUAAUACAUCGGAAUGUACCCAGUAGUGGGGGAUAACUAGUCGAAAGAUUAGCUAAUACCGCAUACGCACUAUGGUGGAAAGCGGGGGAUCGCAAGACCUCGCGCUAUUGGAGCAGCCGAUGUCCGAUUAGGUAGUUGGUGGGGUAAAAGCCUACCAAGCCUGCGAUCGGUAACUGGUCUGAGAGGACGACCAGUCACACUGGGACUGAGACACGGCCCAGACUCCUACGGGAGGCAGCAGUGGGGAAUUUUGGACAAUGGGGGCAACCCUGAUCCAGCCAUGCCGCGUGAGUGAAGAAGGCC
RNAcentral lists this ribosomal RNA (386 nucleotides) under uncultured bacterium. RNAcentral's name for it is "bacterial SSU rRNA". It matches the Rfam family "Bacterial small subunit ribosomal RNA", at positions 30 to 416 of the family's 1533-position model. The record is from RNAcentral.